UGGGGAAUAUUGGACAAUGGGCGCAAGCCUGAUCCAGCCAUGCCGCGUGAGUGAUGAAGGCCCUAGGGUUGUAAAGCUCUGUCACCGGUGAAGAUAAUGACGGUAACCGGAGAAGAAGCCCAGGCUAACUUCGUGCCAGCAGCCGCGGUAAUACGAAGGGGGCUAGCGUUGUUCGGAUUUACUGGGCGUAAAGCGCACGUAGGCGGACUAUUAAGUCAGGGGUGAAAUCCCUGGGCUCAACCCCGGAACUGCCUUUGAUACUGGUAGUCUUGAGUUCGACAGAGGUGAGUGGAAUUCCGAGUGUAGAGGUGAAAUUCGUAGAUAUUCGGAGGAACACCAGUGGCGAAGGCGGCUCACUGGCUCGAUACUGCCGCUGGGGUGCGAAAGCGUGGGGAGCAAACAGG
RNAcentral lists this ribosomal RNA (404 nucleotides) under Actinomycetes bacterium. RNAcentral's name for it is "Actinobacteria bacterium partial 16S ribosomal RNA". It matches the Rfam family "Bacterial small subunit ribosomal RNA", at positions 355 to 776 of the family's 1533-position model. The record is from RNAcentral. Lineage: Bacteria; Bacillati; Actinomycetota; Actinomycetes.